Molecule: long non-coding RNA, 338 nt
Filed under: Mytilus galloprovincialis (Mediterranean mussel)
Lineage: Eukaryota; Metazoa; Mollusca; Bivalvia; Mytilida; Mytilidae
Source: RNAcentral
CUUCGUACUUUUUGUUCAGAAUUUAAAGAAAAUAUUUUUCACAUUUUUUGGGAAUGUAAUGUAUCACAAAACUUCUGGCUAUCCGUUAUAGAUUGGAUUAAAAAUUAAGGCAUUCUCCUGCCUUUCAGUGCAAAAGAAGUCAUGUUAGGUGUGUCUGAGGAUUUUGUUAACAGUAAAACAGUUAACAAUAUUUUGUUGUUAUUCAAAUACUAUAUAUACAAAUGUAGAUGUAAGAACAUAUCCCCCACAAAAUAUGGUGGGGUAGAAUAUUUAAAAUAUUGGAUUAAUAUAGAAAAAUACUCUGUAUGUUUCUUAACCCCUGUACAAAAAGUAAAAAU